UACGAAGGGGGCUAGCGUUGCUCGGAAUCACUGGGCGUAAAGCGCACGUAGGCGGAUUGCUAAGUCAGGGGUGAAGUCCUGGAGCUCAACUCCAGAACUGCCUUUGAUACUGGCGAUCUUGAGUCCGGGAGAGGUGAGUGGAACUGCGAGUGUAGAGGUGAAAUUCGUAGAUAUUCGCAAGAACACCAGUGGCGAAGGCGGCUCACUGGCCCGGUGCUGACGCUGAGGUGCGAAAGCGUGGGGAGCAAACAGG
This 253-nucleotide ribosomal RNA is filed under the name uncultured bacterium. Its description in RNAcentral is "partial 16S ribosomal RNA". It matches the Rfam family "Bacterial small subunit ribosomal RNA", at positions 524 to 776 of the family's 1533-position model. The record is from RNAcentral.